UCGUAGUUGAAAUACUGAUGUAGUCGACCGGUCCCGUGCUUUGUCGCGGUCUACUCGUGUCGAGCUAGAUCAUUCUUGGUGAUAACCGAUCUGGCAUUAGGUUGUUGGAUUUUGGUGAAGACCAUCGUUUACUGUGAAAAAAUUAGAGUGUUCAAAGCAGACUUAUGUCGUUGAAUAGAUUAGCAUGGAAUAAUAAUAUAGGACUUUUGCACUAUUUUGUUGGUUAGGUGUGAAAGUAAUGAUCAACAGGGACAGUUGGGCAUAUUUGUAUUUCGUUGCUAGAGGUGAAAUUCUUGGAUUCUCGAAAGACAAACUACUGCGAAAGCAUUUAUGAAGGAUGUUUUCAUUAAUCAAGAGCGAAAGUUAGGGGAUCGAAGAUGAUUAGAUACCAUCGUAGUCUUAACCAUAAACUAUGCCGACUCGGGAUUGGACGUUGUUUUUUGACUCGCCCAGCACCGUGUGGGAAACCAUUAGUCUUUGGGUUCCGGGGGGAGUUAUGGUCGCAAGACUGAAACUUAAAGAAAUUGACGGAAGGGCACCACCAGGAGUGGAGCCUGCGGC
RNAcentral lists this ribosomal RNA (561 nucleotides) under uncultured eukaryote. RNAcentral's name for it is "SSU rRNA". It matches the Rfam family "Eukaryotic small subunit ribosomal RNA", at positions 628 to 1189 of the family's 1831-position model. The record is from RNAcentral.